GGCGGCGAAACCUUUAACUAAUAGCACGAAAAGUAGUGAUAAGGACGAACUCCUUGUGCUUAUCCAAAAGAAUAGGCUUUUUAGUUAUGUAAUGUAUACUAAGAAUAAGUGAUGGGCAAGACCGGUGCAGCAGCCGCGGUAAUACCGGCGUCACAAGUGGAGAUCACGAUUACUGGGUCUAAAGUGUUCGUAGCUGGUCAUAUAAGUCUCUUGUGAAAGUUCUGUAGCUUAACUCAGAAUUGCAAGAGAUACUGUAUGACUUGAGACCGGAAGAGGU
This 277-nucleotide ribosomal RNA is filed under the name uncultured euryarchaeote. Its description in RNAcentral is "partial 16S ribosomal RNA". It matches the Rfam family "Archaeal small subunit ribosomal RNA", at positions 337 to 609 of the family's 1478-position model. Lineage: Archaea; Methanobacteriati; Methanobacteriota. The record is from RNAcentral.